Cavia porcellus (domestic guinea pig) is the source of this 139-nucleotide small nuclear RNA. Its record names the gene U4. It matches the Rfam family "U4 spliceosomal RNA". Rfam says of the family: U4 small nuclear RNA (U4 snRNA) is a component of the major U2-dependent spliceosome. The structure of U4 snRNA from yeast and human has been reported. U4 snRNA presents a k-turn RNA motif in the 5p-SL related to recognition of Snu13 protein. Lineage: Eukaryota; Metazoa; Chordata; Mammalia; Rodentia; Caviidae. The record is from Ensembl.
AGCUUUGGUCAAGGACAGUAUCACAUCCAAAUGAGGUUUAUCCUAGGCGUGAUUAUUGCUAAUUUAAAUAACUCCAUAAUAUUACUUGAAAAAUCAUGUAGCUCAACGUUCUUUGAAUAUGUGACCUUAAGUACACAUA